This 460-nucleotide ribosomal RNA is filed under the name uncultured bacterium. Its description in RNAcentral is "partial 16S ribosomal RNA". It matches the Rfam family "Bacterial small subunit ribosomal RNA", at positions 338 to 795 of the family's 1533-position model. The record is from RNAcentral.
CCUACGGGAGGCAGCAGUGAGGAAUAUUGGUCAAUGGCCGGAAGGCUGAACCAGCCAUGCCGCGUGAAGGUCAGUGCCCUAUGGGCGUUAAACUUCUUUUGUGCGGGAGCAAUAAUGGUCACGUGUGGCCAGACGAGAGUACCGUACGAAUACGCAUCGGCUAACUCCGUGCAAGCAGCCGCGGUAAUAGGGGGGAUGAAAGCGUUAUCCGGAUUUAUUGGGUUUAAGGGGGGCGUAUGCUGGGCGGUCAGGCAGCGGUGAAAUGGCCCCGCUCAACGGGGUGAAGUGCCAUUGAUACUGCCUUGCUGGAAUGCGGAUGCCGUGGGAGGAACGUGAGGUGUAGCGGUGAAAUGCAUAGAUAUCACACAGAACACCGAUUGCGAAGGCAUCUCACGGAUCCGCGAUUGACGCUGAUGCACGAAAGCGUGGGUAUCAAACAGGAUUAGAUACCCCUGUAGUC